UGCCCGAAGGGUGACGAAGCGACGCCGCGUGGUGAGGAAGGCCUUCGGGUUGUAAAGCCCUGUCAGGAGUUAAGAAAUGUAGACUCGCUAAUAUCGGGUCUAUUUGACAAAGGCUCCAAAGGAAGCCACGGCUAACUCUGUGCCAGCAGCCGCGGUAAUACAGAGGUGGCAAGCGUUGUUCGGAAUUAUUGGGCGUAAAGAGCACGUAGGUGGAUUUGUAAGUCAGACGUGAAAGCCUUCUGUUCAACGGAAGAAUUGCAUCUGAAACUACAAACCUUGAGUGUAGGAGGGGAGAAUGGAACUUCUGGUGGAGCGGUGAAAUGCGUAGAUAUCAGAAGGAACGCCGGCGGCGAAAGCGAUUCUUUGGCCUAUUACUGACACUCAGUGUGCGAAAGCUAGGGGAGCGAACGGGAUUAGAUACCCCGGUAGUCCUAGCCGUAAACGAUGGGCACUAAGUAGAGGGG
RNAcentral lists this ribosomal RNA (464 nucleotides) under uncultured Planctomycetota bacterium. Its description in RNAcentral is "bacterial SSU rRNA". It matches the Rfam family "Bacterial small subunit ribosomal RNA", at positions 372 to 828 of the family's 1533-position model. Lineage: Bacteria; Pseudomonadati; Planctomycetota. The record is from RNAcentral.